AUGCAGUCGAGCGAACAGAUAAGGAGCUUGCUCCUUUGACGUUAGCGGCGGACGGGUGAGUAACACGUGGGUAACCUACCUAUAAGACUGGAAUAACUCCGGGAAACCGGGGCUAAUGCCGGAUAACAUAUAGAACCGCAUGGUUCUAUAGUGAAAGAUGGUUUUGCUAUCACUUAUAGAUGGACCCGCGCCGUAUUAGCUAGUUGGUAAGGUAAUGGCUUACCAAGGCGACGAUACGUAGCCGACCUGAGAGGGUGAUCGGCCACACUGGAACUGAGACACGGUCCAGACUCCUACGGGAGGCAGCAGUAGGGAAUCUUCCGCAAUGGGCGAAAGCCUGACGGAGCAACGCCGCGUGAGUGAUGAAGGGUUUCGGCUCGUAAAACUCUGUUAUUAGGGAAGAACAUAUGUGUAAGUAACUGUGCACAUCUUGACGGUACCUAAUCAGAAAGCCACGGCUAACUACGUGCCAGCAGCCGCGGUAAUACGUAGGUGGCAAGCGUUAUCCGGAAUUAUUGGGCGUAAAGCGCGCGUAGGCGGUUUCUUAAGUCUGAUGUGAAAGCCCACGGCUCAACCGUGGAGGGUCAUUGGAAACUGGGAAACUUGAGUGCAGAAGAGGAAAGUGGAAUUCCAUGUGUAGCGGUGAAAUGCGCAGAGAUAUGGAGGAACACCAGUGGCGAAGGCGACUUUCUGGUCUGUAACUGACGCUGAUGUGCGAAAGCGUGGGGAUCAAACAGGAUUAGAUACCCUGGUAGUCCACGCCGUAAACGAUGAGUGCUAAGUGU
This 785-nucleotide ribosomal RNA is filed under the name Staphylococcus gallinarum. RNAcentral's name for it is "bacterial SSU rRNA". It matches the Rfam family "Bacterial small subunit ribosomal RNA", at positions 55 to 823 of the family's 1533-position model. Lineage: Bacteria; Bacillati; Bacillota; Bacilli; Caryophanales; Staphylococcaceae. The record is from RNAcentral.